UAAAUGUCUUGGCCGUGCGCGGAGGUGAAAGAAAAGGAUGUGAUGUUGAGCAGACGUAGGUGACAGUGAUAUACGUGUAAAUAAGAAAUGGACAGUUAGUACGAUUCGAAUCAUUUGUGUUGUGAAAAAGAGACCUUAGAUUGAAAGGUCCGGUGUUAUUUACGUCGAAAUAAUCACUGUGUAUACAUUAGCAGAUACAACUUCUUCAAGAAACUUUUGUUUGCCUGCAGUAGUAAUGUUUUGAAGUUACGUGUUCCCUUACUUGUUUAUUUUUGAAACAGUUUUUGAUAGUAAUUUGUCGUGGUUCCCAAGUUUCGGUCUAGUUUGAACUAAGUUAAUCCAUGAUCCCCCAUUAUUUAAGUAUUUUACGCCGUUGACGAUUGUAAGAACUGCAUGUAUGGAAGUAUCCGCAAUUUUUAAUGACCAGCCAGAGGCUGAGGAACUCACCACAGGAAUUUUUGGUGAUUUGGGUGAAGAACCAUGGUUGAAUGUCACAGGAGGGGAUUCAGAUAUGAACAUGUUUUUCCACAGGGUAGGUUCAGAUCAGAUUAUAUAUCAGAGAAGGAAGAAGAAAUGUAAAAUAAUUGGAAAAUAUGUGAUGGGAGAUUUACUAGGUGAGGGCAGUUACAGCAAAGUAAAAGAGCUGUUAGACACAGUUUCUCUCUGUAGAAGAGCAGUAAAAAUAUUAAAGAAGAAGAAACUGAGGAGAAUCCCAAAUGGGGAACAGAAUGUUCAGAGGGAGAUUCAACUGCUGAAAACACUACAACACAAGAAUGUAAUACAUUUGGUGGAGGUGCUGUACAAUGACGAAAAACAGAAAAUGUAUAUGGUAUUGGAAUAUUGCGUUGGAGGACUACAAGAUAUGCUUGAAAGUGCACCUAAAAAGAAGUUCCCACUUUGGCAAGCACAUGGGUACUUUAGUCAACUUAUUGAUGGCUUGGAGUAUCUUCAUAGCAAAGGAAUUGUUCACAAGGACAUAAAACCAGGAAAUUUGCUUCUGACACUUGACGAAACACUCAAGAUAUCAGAUCUAGGAGUUGCUGAGUCAUUACAUCCAUUUGCAAGGGAUGACACUUGUUCAACAAAUCAAGGCUCUCCUGCAUUCCAGCCACCCGAAAUAGCAAAUGGUCAUGAGAGAUUUGCUGGGUUCAAGGUUGAUAUUUGGAGCAGUGGAGUUACUUUGUAUAACAUCACUACUGGCCAGUACCCUUUUGAAGGUGACAACAUUUACAGGUUGUUUGAAAACAUUGGAAAUGGGAAGUUUUCAAUACCAAAUGAACUUGACAAUCUCCUCACAGAUUUGCUUAGAGGGAUGUUGGAAAAAGAUCCAGAAAAGAGGCUCUCUCUACAACAAAUACGACAACAUCCGUGGUUCUUACACAAACCAGAUCGAACUACAGAGUAUGUUCCUGUGCCUCCUCUACGUGGAGAUGAUUAUCAUAUGAUGACAGUUUUGCCAUAUCUUAUGGAGUUCCACUAUGGGGAAGAAAUUUCUGGCACUGAAAAUCAUGUUGAUUAUAUUACAGAGCACCAACUUAAUGUAUUGCACCAUGUGGAAAGGGGAUGGAAUGAAAAUUGGCAGUAGGCCAUAUUUUCCCCUUUCUGCACACUGGUUAUCAUUCAAAUUAAUGGAUGAUCAGUAAAAGUGAGGUACAUCAUCAAUACAGAAUUUGAGGAACGAAAGCAGCAGCAGCAGCAGCAAGAGACACAAGGACAGUUGAGACUGAAUGCAUCAGACUCUCAUCCACAUGCUGGUAGCGGUGGAAGUAAACGGCGCUGGAGACGACCAAUCUCGUGUAUU
RNAcentral lists this unclassified non-coding RNA (1801 nucleotides) under Schistocerca americana (American grasshopper). RNAcentral describes it as "serine/threonine-protein kinase stk11-like, transcript variant X4". Lineage: Eukaryota; Metazoa; Arthropoda; Insecta; Orthoptera; Acrididae. The record is from RNAcentral.